UUUGUCUUCUUUUGUCCCUACCCCCUUCUGAAUUCUCUUUUAAUGUUUUGGAAAUACAUUAUAAUAUUUAUUCUUAGUGCAUAUAUAUUACCUUCUUAUUGCAUACAACAUGUCUCUCUAGCAGAAUAUCCUAGAGUUCCUUAUAGGGUGAUAGAUGAGUUCCAUGUGAACAGAAGCAGAGGUAUCAGAACUCUUAAGGUCUAGGAAGAGAAUCUGCAUAGUUUCAAAUUCCUUUGCAAUCUCUACGUCAAAGCACAUAAUAGGAACAGUCUAUUUUGAAGGAAAGACAAAAUGGACUACACUUCUUGAUAAAAAAAAAAAAACAGCAGUAUUUAGGUAUAGGGAGAGGAGGAAUUGUUGUUGCCUAUCUUUGGAGACUAUCUUCCAUGGUACCCAAUAAAUUAUGCAUUUACAUAUGUGUUAUGUGUGUGUCUGUGUAUGUGAUAUAAACCAUGAUUGAACAUAAUCACACACUAGGCAUGCUCUGAGAUGUAUACAUGAAAAAAUUAGGCAUUCACCUUAUCUUUACGAGCUAACAAUCCAGUGGAAGACACAGUUUAUAAUUAAAAAUAAAUAAAAACAAAUAAGUAUCAAGGGGAUAUAAUUAUGGAAGACAAAAUAAAGGACUUAUACUAGGAAAGUUGGAUCAAGAAAAACUUUUAGGGAGACAGAAUAUUUGAGCAACAAUCUGCUUAAGUAAAUAAAAAAUUCUAAUUUUUGCAACACGAGUUAAAAUGUAUGUGGUUUAUAGAUAACAGAACCUCAGGAAAAAAGGAGGAAGCAGAUCUGGGCUUGAUUAUCUUUCUCGCUUGGUACUGAAGGCAAGAGGAAGCUAAUUAGUAUUAAAAGGUAUUGCCAUCUGAUGGCAUAUAGUCAUGAAACAACAAAAUAAAUUAUUGCUAAUGGGCACCUAAGAUGAAGGGUCCAUUAAAGGCAAAACUCUGGGGAACAUGUGUUUGUUGCCAUAGAAAAUAAAGCUUAACAGGAAUUCAAGAACUAUGGAUCUGAGUGGCUACUUCUAAAAGAUAAACACAGCUUUGAAAAUGUUGUGAACUGAAGUUUUGAAACAUUUUAUAUCUAUGCUAAAAUAGUCUAUCUCUUACAGCUAUAGGGCUGACUAACCAAAAUCCAAAGGCAUAAUUUGUUUCUAUUGAUAAGCAAACAUCAUCAGUUGAAUUCACAAUAUAAACAGAUAUUUAUUAUAACAGGACAUACACCAUGGAAAAGUGGGAAAUAAUCUUAAAGUUAGAAUCAUGUAUCUGAUAAUAGACACUUCAACUCAUCCUCUUAUCUCUUAAAAGUAGUCAUAUAUUAUCUAUUUCAUCAGGCUUGUUUUGCCUUUCUAAAAAAAAUCUUUUAAAACCUAUGCUUAAGUAUCCACCCAAGAGACUAAUUUAAUUGGUUUAGGGGUGUGGCUUUUUUAUUAACAAUUUUUCAAAUCUCCCCAGGUAAUUACAAUGUGUAGCCAAUGUUGGGAUUCACUGACUCACAGAGUUUUCUGGUUUUGCUGUUGUUGUUGCUUUUCCUUAAAAAACAAAUUGGACCAGCCGGGAGUAAUUUUAAUUGUUCUCUUGGUUGCAUAAACUUAAAAAAAAAAUUGCACAAUCUGAAAGUUGAGAGUUAAGUUUUAUUUGGGGCAAAAUUUGAAUUUAAGCCCAGGAGACAGUAUCUCAGGUAGCCCUGAAAAACUGCUCCAAGGAGACCAGGGGGGAGCUAGGAUAUAUGAGUUUUUUGCAACUAAGGGAAGGUAGUGGGAACAAGAUUUACAGAAAACCAGAUUUACAGAAAAGGAUUUAUAGAUAACCAGUUUUUAUGGGAAGAUGUAAAGGUCUGGGCUUACAGGAAUCACACCUUUGAUAUGCACCUCAGCUA
Molecule: long non-coding RNA, 1872 nt
Filed under: Sus scrofa (pig)
Lineage: Eukaryota; Metazoa; Chordata; Mammalia; Artiodactyla; Suidae
Description: lncRNA (ENSSSCG00060028324.1)
Source: RNAcentral